Molecule: ribosomal RNA, 376 nt
Filed under: uncultured bacterium
Lineage: Bacteria
Description: bacterial SSU rRNA
Rfam family: Bacterial small subunit ribosomal RNA
Source: RNAcentral
GACGGAGGGUGCAAGCGUUGUUCGGAAUCACUGGGCGUAAAGCGCGUGUAGGCGGUCCGGUAAGUCGGGUGUGAAAUCCCGAGGCUUAACCUCGGAAGUGCACUCGAAACUGUCGGGCUUGAGUACGGGAGAGGGAAGUGGAAUUCCUGGUGUAGAGGUGAAAUUCGUAGAUAUCAGGAGGAACACCGGUGGCGAAGGCGGCUUCCUGGACCGAUACUGACGCUGAGACGCGAAAGCGUGGGGAGCAAACAGGAUUAGAUACCCUGGUAGUCCACGCCGUAAACGGUGAGCACUAGGUGUAGCGGGUAUUGACCCCUGCUGUGCCGCAGCUAACGCAUUAAGUGCUCCGCCUGGGGAGUACGGUCGCAAGAUUAAA